Molecule: long non-coding RNA, 319 nt
Filed under: Hordeum vulgare
Lineage: Eukaryota; Viridiplantae; Streptophyta; Magnoliopsida; Poales; Poaceae
Description: long non-coding RNA (HVUL_LNC003345)
Source: RNAcentral
AGGAGAGAGAGAGAGGAGGAAGGAAAGCAUGGCGAGGGGCUCGGGGUCGACCCAGGUAGUCGUCGGCGGCGGCCUCGGGCUGCUCUGGCAAGGGGCUAGGGUUGAGCGGCGGGGCUCCUCUACGGGGCUGCGCUCGGGAGGUGCAGGAGGGGCAUGGCGCUGCGGAUGGAGGAGCUGCUGGUUUCGGGCGCGAGCUCCUGGGGCGGACCAAAGGAGCUGAUGGGGAGUGCUGGUGGCUGCGCGGGGCUGCCCUGGAUCGAACAGGAGGAAGGAGGAGGCUGCAGCUGGUUGGCCAGAUGGGAAAUGAGGGGGGGGGGGG